RNAcentral lists this ribosomal RNA (202 nucleotides) under Bacteroides caecicola. RNAcentral's name for it is "partial 23S ribosomal RNA". It matches the Rfam family "Bacterial large subunit ribosomal RNA", at positions 392 to 594 of the family's 2925-position model. The record is from RNAcentral. Lineage: Bacteria; Pseudomonadati; Bacteroidota; Bacteroidia; Bacteroidales; Bacteroidaceae.
GAAGCGUAGCAGUAUCCUGAGUAACGCGGGACACGUGAAAUCCUGCGCGAAUCAGCCGGGACCAUCCGGCAAGGCUAAAUACUCCCGAGAGACCGAUAGUGAACCAGUACCGUGAGGGAAAGGUGAAAAGCACUCCGAACAGGAGGUUGAAAUAGUCCCUGAAACCGUACGCCUACAAGCGGUCGGAGCAGCAUCAAGCUGU